RNAcentral lists this long non-coding RNA (205 nucleotides) under Eutrema salsugineum. RNAcentral's name for it is "long non-coding RNA (ESAL_LNC000948)". The record is from RNAcentral. Lineage: Eukaryota; Viridiplantae; Streptophyta; Magnoliopsida; Brassicales; Brassicaceae.
CUGGGGCACGAUCUGGAUCGAGUUUCUUCAUACUCUCACGACCCGGUUGUCGUAGAAGAUCCUCAACCAUAAAUUGGCCAUACGGUUCAGGCUGUAUCAGGCUGUGGCUGGUGCUGGUGCUACUGGUUCGGCUGGUGGUGGUGGAGGCGGUGCAGGCUGUGGUACAACGACCGGUUGCGAAACCGUACGUUGUGCUACCGUGGAC